RNAcentral lists this ribosomal RNA (253 nucleotides) under uncultured bacterium. RNAcentral's name for it is "partial 16S ribosomal RNA". It matches the Rfam family "Bacterial small subunit ribosomal RNA", at positions 524 to 776 of the family's 1533-position model. The record is from RNAcentral.
UACGGGGGGGGCAAGCGUUGUUCGGAAUUACUGGGCGUAAAGGGCGCGUAGGCGGCCCUCUAAGUCAGACGUGAAAUCCCACGGCUUAACCGUGGAACUGCGUCUGAUACUGGAGGGCUUGAUUCCGGGAGAGGGAUGUGGAAUUCCAGGUGUAGCGGUGAAAUGCGUAGAUAUCUGGAGGAACACCGGUGGCGAAGGCGGCAUCCUGGACCGGUAUUGACGCUGAGGCGCGAAAGCUAGGGGAGCAAAAGGG